Molecule: long non-coding RNA, 407 nt
Organism: Polistes dominula (European paper wasp)
Lineage: Eukaryota; Metazoa; Arthropoda; Insecta; Hymenoptera; Vespidae
Source: RefSeq, a predicted model, not a curated record
GUCAUUCAAAUUGACUUCUUAAAAACAAAUUGUCCAAUAAAUUAAAUUAAUUAUUUAUAUAUUUAUAUACAUUAUUAAUAAAAUAAUUAACGAAUAGUAACAAUAAUCUUACAACAUUAUUCCAUAAAAAUAUUGAAACAAUCAAAAAAACAAUUUAAUGACAAGUCAGAGAUAAUUAUUGACAUCGUUUGAAAGGAAAAAAAAGAAAAAUAAGAUUUAUUUCAAUUGAAGAAAUCAAGGUUAUGUUUGCUAUAAGUCCUAAGGAACAUCAUAGCAUAGUUGACAAGCUGGUUAUAUAAUAUUGCUUUGCAUCGAAAAUGAGAUAAUAAAAGCUAAAUUUUCAAAAUAUGUAAAAAGAAAAAAAAAUUAAAAAAGGCUUUUACUAUUAUCGUUGUUCCAGACAUCAU